UUCCCUCAGUGUUGCUGCAGUGUGUGGUGCUGCUGAACUGUGUGUCUGUGUGUCUGUGUUUGUGUGUGUGUGACUCCUCCUGUACUACAUAGUCUCUGGUGGUGUCGUCUGGUGGCGCUGUUGGUGGUGAUGCACUGCUACGAUUCUUUGGGCGGCCAGGGGGAGGAAGUGAAGCACGACAUGAGGGCGGGCGUGCUAGUAUCCGGCAACAACUUGGUGCUUCAGAUGGUGCGUCGAGUCUCCGCUGGGAACUGCACGUGUGCCGCCACCAACACCCUCACCACCACCGCCAGUAACAGUGUGGUGCUGGAUAUCAAAUGCUUCUGGACGUCUAGCAACACACAACGAUCGCAGAGAUACCAGUGUUAAGUGCAAGACAGGGAGGGAGGAAGACUGAGGAUGCUACAAUGUUGACUGCACAAUUGGCGCAAGAUUCAAGAUUUCUAUUUGUGAAAGGUGUAGGCAGUGUAUAUAAUUUAACCAUUGGAUUGUAUGUCAUCACAUUCAUAGAUUUCAUGACUUGGUAGUGUGAUCACCUUUGUGUACAUCGUCAUUUAACCCCUUGAGUACUAUGGCACGUUUUCAUAUUUAUUCUGCUUACUAUAUCGUGAUUUUAUACAGCUUCAGAAACUUAUGUGGGGUGAUUGAAAUCAUAAAGACUGUGGCCAUUAAUCUUCUCACCUCCAUAGACUUACUGAUGUCAAUAAAAUGAAAUUGUACAUAAAUCUCAAUUUUAUGAUGUGUCUCAGCACUGAAAGGAGUAAUAUCACCUAUACGUUUAUUUAGUUAGACGGAGUAACAAUUUAUGAUUUUUAAAUGUUAGUUUAUGGAUGUUUGUUAUAAGAGAUCUUGUACUGUGAAGGUUUGGAUAAAGUUCUUAGCUUGGCCUUAGUUUAUCACCAUCAUCUAUUUCAGCUAGUCCUUGUCAGCCUGUUACAUUUAGGUAAUUUGUCAUUGAUUUACUGUACUGAUGAUGUUAAUAAUCCCUUUAGUACCAGGACGCGUUUUCAUAUUUAUUCUGUUUUCUAUUUGAUGAUUUUAUACAGCUUCAGAAAUUCAUGCUGGGACUAAAAAUAAUAAAGACUAGCCAUUAAUCUUCUGAUGUCCAUAGAUCUUCCGUAAUGUUAAUAAAACCGUUUAAUCAUACCCAAAACUCAAGGUAAAAGGCGUCCCACUACUGAAGGGGUCAAGCUGAGAAUGUUUAGACUUAAUAUACAGCCACUUUGAAGUUAGUUUUAUACCACAGAUUUAUUUGUAAAGGUAUUUUAUUCCGCUUAUACUAACAUCUCUAUCUAAUUUUUUCUUUAUCCUCAACUGUGACACCCCUACCUCCACUCUCACAGACCUUCUUUUCUUCAUCUUUCUCAGUGCUCCCGCCCACACCCACAAUCUCGUCGCACCAAACGUUCCUUCUUUCCUACAGCUAUCUCAUCUUCAACUACUUCGUUACCCUUCCCCCUUCUUUCUCUCUCAGCCUCUCCUGCCUUUUCUCCUCCCUCUAAGAAGUCCUGCCCUACCAUUUUCCACUCUACCACUUCAUCUUUCGAAACCCUUGACCUGAUGAUGCUUAUAUCUCCCACACAGCCUCCCAGCCCUCUCCUCUUACUCUUUUAUCUCCUUCUUCGAACUCACUCUUCCAUACUUCCGCCGAGGCUCACCCUUUACCUACCAACUUACCCAACACUUCCCUUCUAUUUCCGGUCUCCUUCUCCUUCAUCUCUCCACUCCCCACUCCCUCCCCAAUCCUCUGCGCCUUCUUCGUCUACGUCACCUUCCCCAUCUGCUCCUCACCCUUUUUCAAGCGCUAACUCCCUACUCGCCUAUCCUUUCCUUCGUGAUAUUCUAGUUGAAAUUUUCCAAGACUUACUGUAAUGAAGGUUGUUUUAUAGUGCUUUAAAUUGUCUUCUUGGCACAUCAUGCUUUUAACAAAAAUUGUAUCAUGAUGAAAGUUUGGAAAGCUUUUCUAAGUCGAAAAAUGAUGAAAAAAUAUUUCUAAAUCGAAAAUUGUGUAACUUUCAGGUAGAAAAUUUUACUAAGUUGAAAGUUGUCCCUAGAGUUUCGAAAAUUGUGUGUAACUUUCAGGUAGAAAAUUUUACUAAGUUGAAAGUUGUCCCUAGAGUUUCGAAAAUUGUGUAAUUUUCAGCUAGAAAAUAAAUAAAAGUUGUCCGUAGAUUUUUUCCAUUGAGAUUGUAAAUUUUGUAAAUUGUAAUGCAAAUUUUGUUCAAUAAAAAAAUCC
This is a long non-coding RNA of Portunus trituberculatus (swimming crab), 2236 nucleotides long. RefSeq lists it as uncharacterized. The record is from RefSeq and is a predicted model, not a curated record. The transcript is spliced from 3 exons. Lineage: Eukaryota; Metazoa; Arthropoda; Malacostraca; Decapoda; Portunidae.